Molecule: long non-coding RNA, 917 nt
Filed under: Sus scrofa (pig)
Lineage: Eukaryota; Metazoa; Chordata; Mammalia; Artiodactyla; Suidae
Description: lncRNA (ENSSSCG00055013877.1)
Source: RNAcentral
ACAUGAAAACAAUAAUGUGAUGGGAAAAUGUUAUGAUGUGUUAAUAGAAUAAUGCAGGACAUUAAACUGCACAACGGUAAAGUGCCAACUGAUAUUGCAGCGUGGUUAAUAGCUCUGGGUGGAGCAGUUCUACAUGGGUUUGAUCUUUUUUUUCUCUUCUUCCUUUUUGAUUUUGCAAAAUUUCAUACUGACAAGUUGAAAUGAGGAAACUGUUCCAGGUAUGCUGGUUGGGACCCACAGUGUGGUGGAUCAUGUGCCAUGCCUGCUGGCCUGUAUCUCACUGCAAGUUCAGGGGAAGUGAUUCUUUUAAACCAUGAAGAACUCAGACGAGCCAAGGGCAGUCCUCCUGCCCCUUGAAGAGAAAAGAGCACCACACGAUGCUUUCCUUCUGUCCAAGAACUAAGGUUCAUUUUACAUGCCUGAAAGCUAACUGUGGGCCCAGCUGCGUUUCACCCUGAAGGUCCUGUGGCUGCAGACACACACCUGGAUGGAGCAGUGCUGCCCAGCUCAUCCCACCUGUGCCCAUACAGCUUCUAAUGCCAGCUUCUACCAGACCAACCUCGUUCCCAGCCCCCAGGAGCUGCCAGAGGCCCUGAGGACUCAGCCAAGCUCUAACUGGUGGACCCUGGGUAAGGGGUGUGGCAGGCAUACCCUGGGUGAAGGGGUGUGGGGGACAGAUACUGGGUGAAGUGGUGUGGCGAGCAGACAGUAAUGCAUUCACAGGGUGCAGGUGGCCAGCAUCACCCUUGCGAUGAAAUCAUGUUUCUCACAUUUUAUAUCUUACAGAGUAGGACAUGGAACAUAAUAAUAGUUUUUGUUCAUUCUAAGUAAACAUCUGACAAUGUCCAAUUCAGUGGGUUCCGCCCCUAAAAUACAACAAUGCUUCCUUAAAUAAAAAAUGGCUGAAAAGAUGUGCA